RNAcentral lists this ribosomal RNA (226 nucleotides) under uncultured bacterium. RNAcentral's name for it is "partial 16S ribosomal RNA". It matches the Rfam family "Bacterial small subunit ribosomal RNA", at positions 538 to 763 of the family's 1533-position model. The record is from RNAcentral.
GCGUUGUCCGGAAUCAUUGGGCGUAAAGAGCGCGUAGGCGGUCCGGUAAGUCCGCUGUAAAAGUCAAGGGCUCAACCCUUGAAAGCCGGUGGAUACUGUCGGGCUAGAGUCCGUAAGAGGCGAGUGGAAUUCCUGGUGUAGCGGUGAAAUGCGCAGAUAUCAGGAGGAACACCUAUGGCGAAGGCAGCUCGCUGGGACGGUACUGACGCUGAGGCGCGAAAGCGUG